Long non-coding RNA from Prionailurus viverrinus (fishing cat), 838 nucleotides. RefSeq lists it as uncharacterized. NCBI's taxonomy places the organism in Eukaryota, Metazoa, Chordata, Mammalia, Carnivora, Felidae. The record is from RefSeq and is a predicted model, not a curated record. The transcript has 3 exons.
ACGUGACAAACACUGAAACCUGCCUAAAGCAAAUAGAUUCCAAGGGGCUACAGAGCAACGAGUCUUGUGAAAUCCCGCCUGACCCCCCAAGCGUCCCCUUCGCAUCUUUUAGCCAGCCGCUGCGCUGACUUGGAUGCUUUUCCAGACACUAGAGAGCUUGCUGUGGUGACAAAGAAGAGCUUAUGUGAGCACACAGUGAUAUAGCAGCCUCCUACCAGCCAAGAGAAGAAGCCUAAGAAUGACAUCUACUUUGCCAGCACGUUCAUCUUGGACUUCCCAGCCUCCAGAACUGUGAGAACCCACCCGAAUACCUCAGGAUAAUUUCCCCAUUUCAAGAUCUUUAAUUACAAUUGCAAAGAUUCCAUGGCAACGGAUGCAGCAGAUCCAGAACCACGACUUCCGCCCGAAGUGGAGGAGCAGGACGUCAGCGCACUGCCGGUGUCCUGCGCUGGGGAGAGCAGAUGAAGCGCCCCCAGCCGCCUGGAUUUAACGUGUAGGUGCCGCUCCUGGAGCUGUUAACUUCGAGUCUAGCUUGAAUUAUGGGAUUUGGGGGGACCGUUUAACUUAAUUACCACUAGUUUUGAAAUGUCUUUGUGAGUAGGGUUGGCACGGAUGCACCAAUACGGAAGGAGAGGGGUCACUUAUCUGUGUUCCUAUGGAAACUAUUUGAAUAUUUGUUUUAUAUGGAUUUUUAUUUAGUUCACUAAAGAAUGCCCCUCAGCUGCUGGGCAAGCAUUUGUAGCUUGUGCGUCAGCAGAAUGGGCAAAAGCUUAGUGCUGUGACUUGUUUUAAAAAUAAAGUAUCUUGGGGGCACCUGAGUGACUCAGUCGGUUAAGCG